This 456-nucleotide ribosomal RNA is filed under the name uncultured bacterium. Its description in RNAcentral is "SSU rRNA". It matches the Rfam family "Bacterial small subunit ribosomal RNA", at positions 26 to 518 of the family's 1533-position model. The record is from RNAcentral.
AGGAUAAACGCUGGCGGCGUGCCUAAUACAUGCAAGUCGAGCGGCAGCGCGGUCUUCGGACUGGCGGCGAGCGGCGGACGGCUGAGUAACACGUAGGAACGUACCCCAAAGUGAGGGAUAAGCACCAGAAAUGGUGUCUAAUACCGCAUGUGCUCUAAGGAGUAAAGCUUCGGCGCUUUGGGAACGGCCUACGCAUGAUUAGCUUGUUGGUGAGGUAAUGGCUCACCAAGGCGACGAUCAUUAGCUGGUCUGAGAGGAUGAUCAGCCAGACUGGGACUGAGAACGGCCCAGACUCCUACGGGAGGCAGCAGUAGGGAAUUUUCCACAAUGGGCGAAAGCCUGAUGGAGCAACGCCGCGUGCAGGAUGAAGGCCUUAGGGUUGUAAACUGCUUUUAUGUGUGACGAAUAUGACGGUAGCAUAUGAAUAAGGAUCGGCUACUCCGUGCCAGCAGCCGC